UGAUAAUCAAGUCUUAUAUUGCAAGCUUGCCUUUCAUCCCUCAGGAUUGCCAAGUAAGUUACAUCUUAUUAAUCAGAAAUAUAGCAUGAAUUAUUGGCUAAGUCCAGUGGUAAUUACUUACAGUCCUCUGCUCCUUGCUCCCACAUUCUGGCGUUAGUGGGGACCAUCCAUUUUUGAGCACAUUCUUUGCAAAGACUUUGUGUACAAAAUUACCCUCUGGCUUUUUUAAAAGGGGAAACAUCCAUAAAUAAAGGGGGGGAGAGAUAGAGGGGAGGUUGUUUCAUGUCACACUUUCAGUCUUCUUAGUGACCUUAUGCCACAAUAUGGUCAAUUAUUACAUACAGCUGCUCUGAUGGAACAAUUUCAAUUUAUCUCACCAACACAACACACACAGAGAGAGAAAGAGAGAGAUUAAGCUUUUAUAUGCACAGAUUUGGAACUAUGCUGUAAUAGACCAUCUAACAAAUCACAUCAGGGGAACUGAGGAUCCAAUUAAAUCUGAAUUGUUUUUUACUAUGUGGUGCUCUUUUCUUCCAUAUGCUGACAUUUAAAUGAAAGCUACUCUACCUUGAAAAUACAGAAAUCUAAUAUUAUAGUGAUUCAGUGUAGCUGCAACUGCAUUAAUCUGGUAUUAUUAUUAUUAUUAUUAGUGCUUUUUUUCUGGGGGGACGCAGGGGUGGGUACACAUACCCCUAAACAAUUUGUGAAGCUAACGGGAGAAGAAACUUUUUUUAAAAAAUAAAUAAAUAGUUUCUUCUCUAGCACAGUGAAUCAUCAGUUCCGUUGCUACCCCCAAUGGCGGCCUCAUUUUCUGUCACUGUUUUUCCUGAGUCUCAGACAGAAACGAAUGUUUAAUGUGUGAAGCAGUAUUUUUUUUUCUGGAUUUGAACUAUAAAAUGGCGAUUUUAUUGAGACAAAAUAAGAGUACCCCUAAACUUUUUUUGGGAAAAGCACAGAUUGAUGUUGUUGUUGUUGCUGCUGCUGCUGCUGCUGCUGUUAUUAUUAUCACUGUUAUGCCUUUAAAAGGAUUUAUAUUUAGCUCUCUUUCAUUGUAAUGGAUUUUUUGUAUGCUAGGAUACUGAGGAGGGCUGUAUAUUUUUUAUUCUUGCUUCACAGUUUUAAAAUGUUCUUAAUACUUUAUUUUAAAAAUAAAAUUUAAACCCUCAAUAAGUUCCCAAGAUUCUACAAACUUAAGAAGUGUUUGCUGGAUCAAGCCAAUGGCUCUAGUAUCCUGUUCUCACAGUGGCCAUCCAGAUGCUUGUGGGAAACCUGACAGGAGGACCUAAUUCUGCAAAGCACAAUCCCAAUUUUUGGAUUUUUGUUUUGUUUUGUUUUAAACCCCACUUCCAUAUCCAUUUAUACACAAUGGCAUAUUUAACUAGGUUCAUUUACUAGCAGAAGCCAGCACAAGUCCCACCAGUACAGUGGAACUUCCCCCUUUCCUCACCCCGUGCACCCUGCGCCCCCACAAAGUCUGCUCAGUAGGGUCAGGAUAACCCCUCAAACAGCACAUAGGAGGGGAAAUUAUUCCACCUUUCAGGCAGAAGUAAUUAUGCUGAUGGAAUGAUCUCCUGUGUGUGCCAUUGAGCUCCAUCCAGAACAUAUAUAUUUGACUCUAGAGCUUUAAUAACAUGUGCCAGAGCUUGCUUUCCCCUCCUCCCUCCCAUUCAUUUUUCUUUAUGUGUCGCACCUAGAAUUGCAGAUUCAUAGAACUGUAGAGUUGGAAGGAACCCAAGGGUUAUCUAGUCCAACCCCCUGCAAUGCAGGAAUCUCAGCUAAAGCAUCCAGGACAGAUGGCCAUCCAACCUCUGCUUAAAAACCUCCAAGGAAGGAGAGUCCACAACCUCCUGAGGGAGUCUGUUCCUCUGCUGACCAGCUCUUACUGUCAGAAGGUUUUUCUGAAUGUUCAGUCAGAAUCUCCUUUCUUGCAACUUGAAGCCAUUGCCUUGAGUCUUACUCCCAAGAGCAGGAGAAAACAACCAUGUUCCCUCCUCCAUAUGACAGCCCUUAAGAUAUUUGAAGAUGGCUAUCAUAUCGCACCCGCCCCGUGGAACGCCCUCCCAUCAGUUGUCAAGGAAAUAAACAACUAUCUGAAGACAUCUGAAGGCAGCCCUGUUUAGGGAAGUUUUUAACAAUUGAUGUUUAUUGUAUUUUUAAUAUGUUGUUGAAAGCCACC
This is a non-coding RNA of Podarcis lilfordi (Lilford's wall lizard), 2176 nucleotides long. The record is from the annotation of a GenBank genome assembly. Lineage: Eukaryota; Metazoa; Chordata; Lepidosauria; Squamata; Lacertidae.